UCCCUGGUGGCUCAGACGGUAAAACAUCUGCCUGCAAUGCAGGAGACCCGGGUUUGAUUCCUGGGUUGGGAA
This 72-nucleotide transfer RNA is filed under the name Bos taurus (domestic cattle). It matches the Rfam family "tRNA". From Rfam's summary of the family: Transfer RNA (tRNA) molecules are approximately 80 nucleotides in length. Their secondary structure includes four short double-helical elements and three loops (D, anti-codon, and T loops). Further hydrogen bonds mediate the characteristic L-shaped molecular structure. tRNAs have two regions of fundamental functional importance: the anti-codon, which is responsible for specific mRNA codon recognition, and the 3' end, to which the tRNAs corresponding amino acid is attached (by aminoacyl-tRNA synthetases). tRNAs cope with the degeneracy of the genetic code in two manners: having more than one tRNA (with a specific anti-codon) for a particular amino acid; and 'wobble' base-pairing, i.e. permitting non-standard base-pairing at the 3rd anti-codon position. RNAcentral also lists the same sequence under 5 other names. Lineage: Eukaryota; Metazoa; Chordata; Mammalia; Artiodactyla; Bovidae. The record is from Rfam by way of RNAcentral.